CCUACGGGAGGCAGCAGUGGGGAAUAUUGGGCAAUGGGCGCAAGCCUGACCCAGCAACGCCGCGUGAAGGAAGAAGGCUUUCGGGUUGUAAACUUCUUUUAUCAGGGACGAAGCAAGUGACGGUACCUGACGAAUAAGCCACGGCUAACUAAGUGCCAGCAGCCGCGGGAAUACGUAGGUGGCAAGCGUUAUCCGGAUUUACUGGGUGUAAAGGGCGUGUAGGCGGGAGUGCAAGUCAGAUGUGAAAACUAUGGGCUCAACCCAUAGCCUGCAUUUGAAACUGUAGUUCUUGAGUGCUGGAGAGGCAAUCGGAAUUCCGGGUGUAGCGGUGAAAUGCGUAGAUAUAAGGAGGAACACCAGUGGCGAAGGCGGAUUGCUGGACAGCAACUGACGCUGAGGCGCGAAAGCGUGGGGAGCAAACAGGAUUAGAUACCCCAGUAGUC
Molecule: ribosomal RNA, 443 nt
Filed under: uncultured bacterium
Lineage: Bacteria
Description: partial 16S ribosomal RNA
Rfam family: Bacterial small subunit ribosomal RNA
Source: RNAcentral